GCCCUUGGUGGCUCAGAUGGAUAGAGCAUCUACCAUGUAAGCAGGAGGUCCCAGGUUCAAGUCCUGGUCAGGGCA
This is a non-coding RNA of Schistocerca cancellata (South American locust), 75 nucleotides long. The record is from the annotation of a RefSeq genome assembly. NCBI's taxonomy places the organism in Eukaryota, Metazoa, Arthropoda, Insecta, Orthoptera, Acrididae.